Long non-coding RNA from Cydia amplana, 397 nucleotides. RefSeq lists it as uncharacterized. NCBI's taxonomy places the organism in Eukaryota, Metazoa, Arthropoda, Insecta, Lepidoptera, Tortricidae. The transcript is spliced from 2 exons. The record is from RefSeq and is a predicted model, not a curated record.
AAGUACAUAAUUAUUAUUUUACUCUUUUUCUGAUUUUUACUUUUAGCCUGACGAACUCUUGCCCUCAAUUCUUCGUACUCAAUUUAAGGUUGUUUUAUGCGAGUUUAAUUACUUACACGUUGUUCCAAUAAACAUAUUUUCCAAAACAAUAAAAGUUAAAUACAAAAAAAGAAGUGCACGAAUAACCACUGAUGCCCCUCUGGUAGAGUGUUAUUACCACCCCGCUAGCGUGGGUGUUUAAGCAAUCGAGCUAACCAGCGUAACAUGACCGAGCGAUGUACUACCCGAGCGUAAUUGGAAUGCGAGCCUACGCUGGUUAGUCCGAGCAGUCAGCCCAUCCGAAGCGCGUCCUAAGCGGUUUUAAUAACAACCAUGGCCUUUACUUAUUUAGCCUGAC